Molecule: ribosomal RNA, 3810 nt
Organism: Drosophila willistoni
Lineage: Eukaryota; Metazoa; Arthropoda; Insecta; Diptera; Drosophilidae
Source: RefSeq, a predicted model, not a curated record
CAACCUCAACUCAUAUGGGACUACCCCCUGAAUUUAAGCAUAUUACUUAGGGGAGGAAAAGAAACUAACAAGGAUUUUCUUAGUCGCGGCGAGCGAAAAGAAAAUAGUUCAGCACUAAGUCACUUUGUCUUUAUGGCAAAUGUGAGAUGCAGUGUAUGGAGCAUCAAUAUUCUAGUAUGAGAAAUUAAUGAUUUAAGUCCUUCUUAAAUGAGGCCAUUUACCCAUAGAGGGUGCCAGGCCCGUAUAACGUUAAUGAUUACUAGAUGGUGUUUCCAAAGAGUCGUGUUGCUUGAUAGUGCAGCACUAAGUGGGUGGUAAACUCCAUCUAAAACUAAAUAUAACCAUGAGACCGAUAGUAGACAAGUACCGUGAGGGAAAGUUGAAAAGAACUCUGAAUAGAGAGUUAAAUAGUACGUGAAACUGCUUAGAGGUUAAGCCCGAUGAACCUGAAUAUCCAUUAUGGAAAAUUCAUCAUUAGAGUUUUAAUAUUUUAAUAAUAUUAUAAUAAUAGUGUGCAUUUUUUCCAUAUAAGGACAUUGUAAUCUAUUAACAUAAACCAAAUUUAGCAUUAAAUAUGACUUAUAGUUUAUUUAAAUUAUUUUGCUUGCAUUUUAACAUAGAAUAAAUGUCAUUAAUUUGAUAAAGUGUUGAUAGAUUUAUAUGAAUACAGUGCGUUAAUUUUUCGGAAUUAUAUAAUAGCAUGAUUAUCAUUGAUUUUCUGUGUUUAUUAUAUGCACUUGUAUGAUUAACAAUGCGAAAGAUUCAGGAUACCUUCGGGACCCGUCUUGAAACACGGACCAAGGAGUCUAACAUAUGUGCAAGUUAUUGGGAUAUAAACCUAAUAGCAUAAUUAACUUGACUAAUAAUGGGAUUCGUUUUUUAACUAUUUAUAGAUAAUUAACACAAUCCCGGGGCGUUCUAUAUAGUUAUGUAUAAUGAUAUUUAUAUUAUUUAUACCUCUAACUGGAACGUACCUUGAGCAUAUAUGCUGUGACCCGAAAGAUGGUGAACUAUACUUGAUCAGGUUGAAGUCAGGGGAAACCCUGAUGGAAGACCGAAACAGUUCUGACGUGAAAAUCGAUUGUCAGAAUUGAGUAUAGGGGCGAAAGACCAAUCGAACCAUCUAGUAGCUGGUUCCUUUCGAAGUUUCCCUCAGGAUAGCUGGUGCAUUUAAAUGUUAUAUAAAAUAAUCUUAUCUGGUAAAGCGAAUGAUUAGAGGCCUUAGGGUCGAAACGAUCUUAACUUAUUCUCAAACUUUAAAUGGGUAAGAACCUUAACUUUCUUGAUAUGAAGUUUAAGGUUAUGAUAUAUUGUGCCCAGUGGGCCACUUUUGGUAAGCAGAACUGGCGCUGUGGGAUGAACCAAACGUAAUGUUACGGUGCCCAAAUUAACAACUCAUACAGAAACCAUGAAAGGCGUUGGUUGCUUAAAACAGCAGGACGGUGAUCAUGGAAGUCGAAAUCCGCUAAGGAGUGUGUAACAACUCACCUGCCGCAGCAACUAGCCCUUAAAAUGGAUGACGCUUAAGUUGUAUACCUAUACAUUACCGCUAAAGUAGAUGAUUUAUAUUAUUUAUAAUAUAAAUUUUGAAACUUUAGUGGUUUAGGAAGGUACAAUGGUGUGCUUAGAAGUGUUUGGCGUAAGCCUGCAUGGAGCCGCCAUUGGUACAGAUCUUGGUGGUAGUAGCAAAUAAUCGAAUGAGACCUUGGAGGACUGAAGUGGAGAAGGGUUUCCUGUGAACAGUGGUUGAUCACGAGUUAGUCGGUCCUAAGUUCAAGGCGAAAGCCGAAAAUUUUCAAGUUUUAAAAAUGUCAAAUGAAAUAAUAAAUAAUAAAACACUUGAAUAAUUUUGAACGAAAGGGAAUACGGUUCCAAUUCCGUAACCUGUUGAGUAUCCGUUUGUUAUUAAAUAUGGGCCUCGUGCUCAUCCUGGCAACAGGAACGACCAUAAAGAAGCCGUCGAGAGGUAUCGGAAGGACAGGGUCCUGGUGAACGCAGAAGGUCAACGCAGAAAUGCUAUACUUCGUAAGUCCGGAUCCAGGUCAAGUCGACUCGAAACCUCCUCGUGGUGUCCUCUGGAUGCUAUCUAGGCCAUUGUCUAGUUAGUAACAGAUUCGAGCGGCGGUAUUCUGAAGGUCUAAUCCUGACGAAUAUUAGAUAACGUUGGAAUAUGGUCUAGGAUUACGUCCGCCUACUGAAAAUUUGAGUACACUUUUAAGUUGGAGCAAAAUCCAACAUAAAUGAAAUAUGAUUUGCCACAUUCUAAUCUUGGGGUUACAAACAAAUUAACCAAAGGCGCUUGCUGCCUCAGCUUGACAUCUAAAAGAAGGCACAAACAUCGCAUGGCUAAAAGAGGAGGUUUUAGUACGUAGGCGCUGUGGAACUUUAUAGUUCUGAUGAUGCAGUGAAUCGUGCAUGCGGCAAUUCACCCGUAGUAAGGUGACCGUAUCUUUCGAAGAUUUCCUCCCUCUGCGAUCAAAAAAAAAAAAAAAAAAAAAUAGCCAAAUGCCUCGUCAUCUAAUUAGUGACGCGCAUGAAUGGAUUAACGAGAUUCCUACUGUCCCUAUCUACUAUCUAGCGAAACCACAGCCAAGGGAACGGGCUUGGAAUAAUUAGCGGGGAAAGAAGACCCUUUUGAGCUUGACUCUAAUCUGGCAGUGUAAGGAGACAUAAGAGGUGUAGAAUAAGUGGGAGAUAUUAUUCCUUGUGUUUGAUAUCGCCAAUGAAAUACCACUACUCUUAUUGUUUCCUUACUUACUUGAUUAAAUGGAACGUGUAUCAUUUCCUAGCCAUUAUACGGAUAUAUUUAUUAUAUCUUAUGGUAUUGGGUUUUGAUGCAAGCUUCUUGAUCAAAGUAUCACGAGUUUGUUAUAUAAUCGCAAACAAAUUCUUUAAUGAGAGAGUGCAUUUAUGUAUUUUUAAUUUGAAAUAUUUGGUAUAACUCCAAUUACUCAGGUAUGAUCCAAUUCAAGGACAUUGCCAGGUAGGGAGUUUGACUGGGGCGGUACAUCUCUCAAAUAAUAACAAAGGUGUCCCAAGGCCAGCUCAGUGCGGACAGAAACCACACAUAGAGCAAAAGGGCAAAUGCUGACUUGAUCUCGGUGUUCAGUACACACAGGGACAGCAAAAGCUCGGCCUAUCGAUCCUUUUGGUUUAAAGAGUUUUUAACAAGAGGUGUCAGAAAAGUUACCAUAGGGAUAACUGGCUUGUGGCGGCCAAGCGUUCAUAGCGACGUCGCUUUUUGAUCCUUCGAUGUCGGCUCUUCCUAUCAUUGUGAAGCAAAAUUCACCAAGCGUUGGAUUGUUCACCCAUGCAAGGGAACGUGAGCUGGGUUUAGACCGUCGUGAAACAGGUUAGUUUUACCCUACUAAUGACAAAACGUUGUUGCGACAGCAUUCCUGCGUAGUACGAGAGGAACCGCAGGUACGGACCAAUGGCACGAUACUUGUUCGAGCGAACAGUGGUAUGACGCUACGUCCGUUGGAUUAUGCCUGAACGCCUCUAAGGUCGUAUCCGUGCUGGACUGCAAUGAUAAAUAAGGGGCAAUUUGCAUUGUAUGGCUUCUAAACCAUUAAAAGUUUAUUUUAUAAACGACAAUGGAUGUGAUGCCAAUGUUAUUUGUAACAUAGUAAAUUGGGAGGAUCUUCGAUCACCUGAUGCCGCGCUAGUUACUUAUUAAAACAUUAUUUAAUACAAUGACAAAGCCUAGAAUCAAUUGUAAACGACUUUUGUAACAGGCAAGGUGUUGUAAGUGGUUGAGCAGCUGCCAUACUGCGACCCACUGAAGCUUAUCCUUUGCUGAUGAUUCGA